This 253-nucleotide ribosomal RNA is filed under the name uncultured bacterium. RNAcentral describes it as "partial 16S ribosomal RNA". It matches the Rfam family "Bacterial small subunit ribosomal RNA", at positions 524 to 776 of the family's 1533-position model. The record is from RNAcentral.
UACAGAGGUGGCAAGCGUUGUUCGGAAUUACUGGGCGUAAAGGGCGCGCAGGCGGUCGUUCAAGUCGAGUGUGAAAGCCCCCGGCUCAACUGGGGAGGGUCACUCGAUACUGAUCGACUCGAAGGCAGGAGAGGGAAGUGGAAUUCCCGGUGUAGUGGUGAAAUGCGUAGAUAUCGGGAGGAACACCAGUGGCGAAGGCGACUUCCUGGCCUGUUCUUGACGCUGAGGCGCGAAAGCUAGGGGAGCAAACGGG